Non-coding RNA from Podarcis lilfordi (Lilford's wall lizard), 72 nucleotides. The record is from the annotation of a GenBank genome assembly. NCBI's taxonomy places the organism in Eukaryota, Metazoa, Chordata, Lepidosauria, Squamata, Lacertidae.
AGGGAGGUACCUCAGUGGUAGAACAUCUGCUUUGCAUGCAGAAGGUCCCAGGUUCAAUCCCUGACAUUUUUG